GGAUCUACUAAAGAUGACGCAAAUGCCGACUGAACAAUCUGAAACCCAAAGGACUCGAGGAGAGACAUGUUCUGCUGAGGAGAGAAAGAACUGUAAGAGAAAGCAACAUUCACCUUUAAAUGUGUUACGGAUCAAAUGGUAACCCACUGAAGACCACCCCAUUACCUUGUGCUAGAACGGAACUGCCUCUACCAUCUCUCUUUAACAGAAGCACAUCCUGAGAACCUGAGAGCUCAAGGUAAGUGUCUGAACACUGUCACCACAUACAGACAUCUAACUAUCUCUUUACUGUACAACCAUAGCAAGAAACAAAUGCAUGCAAUGCUGUCAAGGUAGAAGACACCACUGUUUACUAUCCCAGUUCCAAAUAUCUGUGUAUGUUAGCACAGCCUACCUAGCUCUUAUGUCAUUAUCUUUUUAAGUAAAUAUACAUUUGAACUGAA
Cercocebus atys (sooty mangabey) is the source of this 443-nucleotide long non-coding RNA. RefSeq lists it as uncharacterized. The record is from RefSeq and is a predicted model, not a curated record. The transcript has 2 exons. NCBI's taxonomy places the organism in Eukaryota, Metazoa, Chordata, Mammalia, Primates, Cercopithecidae.